UACGGAGGAUCCAAGCGUUAUCCGGAUUUAUUGGGUUUAAAGGGUGCGUAGGCGGCUUAUUAAGUCAGGGGUGAAAGACGGUGGCUCAACCAUCGCAGUGCCCUUGAUACUGAUGAGCUUGAAUACACUAGAGGUAGGCGGAAUGUGACAAGUAGCGGUGAAAUGCAUAGAUAUGUCACAGAACACCGAUUGCGAAGGCAGCUUACUAUGGUGUGAUUGACGCUGAGGCACGAAAGCGUGGGGAUCAAAC
RNAcentral lists this ribosomal RNA (250 nucleotides) under uncultured bacterium. Its description in RNAcentral is "partial 16S ribosomal RNA". It matches the Rfam family "Bacterial small subunit ribosomal RNA", at positions 524 to 773 of the family's 1533-position model. The record is from RNAcentral.